AGAGUUUGAUCAUGGCUCAGGAUGAACGCUAGCGGCAGGCUUAAUACAUGCAAGUCGAGGGGCAGCAAGGGUAGCAAUACCUGUUGGCGACCGGCAAACGGGUGCGGAACACGUACGCAACCUUCCCGAAACUGGUGAAUAGCCCUCCGAAAGGAGGAUUAAUACACCGUAAGAUAAUUGAAUGGCAUCAUUUGGUUAUUAUAGCUCCGGCGGUUUUGGAUGGGCGUGCGCCUGAUUAGGUAGUUGGUAGGGUAACGGCCCACCAAGCCAACGAUCAGUAACUGGUGUGAGAGCACGACCAGUCACACGGGCACUGAGACACGGGCCCGACUCCUACGGGAGGCAGCAGUAAGGAAUAUUGGUCAAUGGACGCAAGUCUGAACCAGCCAUGCCGCGUGCAGGAUGAAGGCCCUCUGGGUUGUAAACUGCUUUUAUGGGGGACGAAAAAAGGGCAUUCUUGCUCACUUGACGGUACCCUAGGAAUAAGCACCGGCUAACUCCGUGCCAGCAGCCGCGGUAAUACGGAGGGUGCAAGCGUUAUCCGGAUUUACUGGGUUUAAAGGGUGCGUAGGUGGGUAGGUAAGUCAGUGGUGAAAUCUUCAAGCUUAACUUGGAAACUGCCAUUGAUACUAUUUAUCUUGAAUACUUUGGAGGUAAGCGGAAUAUGUCAUGUAGCGGUGAAAUGCUUAGAUAUGACAUAGAACACCAAUUGCGAAGGCAGCUUACUACACAGUUAUUGACACUGAGGCACGAAAGCGUGGGGAUCAAACAGGAUUAGAUACCCUGGUAGUCCACGCCCUAAACGAUGGAUACUCGACAUUAGCGAUACACAGUUAGUGUCUGAGCGAAAGCAUUAAGUAUCCCACCUGGGAAGUACGAUCGCAAGAUUGAAACUCAAAUGAAUUGACGG
Molecule: ribosomal RNA, 910 nt
Filed under: uncultured bacterium
Lineage: Bacteria
Description: SSU rRNA
Rfam family: Bacterial small subunit ribosomal RNA
Source: RNAcentral